CGAGCCUCUGGAGAGACUCAUAUUAGGGCACCGAAGGAGCAAGGUUUAAUUUAAAUUAAACUGAAACUCUCAGGUAAAAGGACAGGGGAUAAA
Molecule: non-coding RNA, 93 nt
Filed under: Romboutsia timonensis
Lineage: Bacteria; Bacillati; Bacillota; Clostridia; Peptostreptococcales; Peptostreptococcaceae
Also listed under: 1 other name
Description: Glycine riboswitch
Rfam family: Glycine riboswitch aptamer
About the family: This family represents the bacterial glycine riboswitch.
Source: RNAcentral